Molecule: unclassified non-coding RNA, 264 nt
Filed under: Hevea brasiliensis (rubber tree)
Lineage: Eukaryota; Viridiplantae; Streptophyta; Magnoliopsida; Malpighiales; Euphorbiaceae
Source: RNAcentral
UUAUUAUUAUUAUUAUUAUUAUUCGGUGUUCAUAAGUCGUAUUCCCAUCGCCAGUAACUUGUUCUAAUUUUAUGUUCACCUCCAUUUACUUAGACGCAGUUGACUGAAUUUAGAUCCUACGAAGGCCAGGAUAUGUACACUGGCGAGAAAAUUGUUCCAAUCAAGGUUCUUCUCGGCUAUGAGUCUGAUGUACUAUUGUUUUCUAUCCUUUUUUUAAUCUAUUUGAAAAUUUGGUUAAUCACACGUUGGUGUGUGCUUCUUCUC